This 719-nucleotide ribosomal RNA is filed under the name Microbacterium sp. RNAcentral's name for it is "bacterial SSU rRNA". It matches the Rfam family "Bacterial small subunit ribosomal RNA", at positions 95 to 827 of the family's 1533-position model. The record is from RNAcentral. Lineage: Bacteria; Bacillati; Actinomycetota; Actinomycetes; Micrococcales; Microbacteriaceae.
GUGGCGAACGGGUGAGUAACACGUGAGCAAUCUGCCCCUGACUCUGGGAUAAGCGCUGGAAACGGCGUCUAAUACCGGAUAUGAGCUGCGGCCGCAUGGUCGGCAGUUGGAAAGAUUUUUCGGUCAGGGAUGAGCUCGCGGCCUAUCAGCUUGUUGGUGAGGUAAUGGCUCACCAAGGCGUCGACGGGUAGCCGGCCUGAGAGGGUGACCGGCCACACUGGGACUGAGACACGGCCCAGACUCCUACGGGAGGCAGCAGUGGGGAAUAUUGCACAAUGGGCGGAAGCCUGAUGCAGCAACGCCGCGUGAGGGAUGACGGCCUUCGGGUUGUAAACCUCUUUUAGCAGGGAAGAAGCGAAAGUGACGGUACCUGCAGAAAAAGCGCCGGCUAACUACGUGCCAGCAGCCGCGGUAAUACGUAGGGCGCAAGCGUUAUCCGGAAUUAUUGGGCGUAAAGAGCUCGUAGGCGGUCUGUCGCGUCUGCUGUGAAAACCCGAGGCUCAACCUCGGGCCUGCAGUGGGUACGGGCAGACUAGAGUGCGGUAGGGGAGAUUGGAAUUCCUGGUGUAGCGGUGGAAUGCGCAGAUAUCAGGAGGAACACCGAUGGCGAAGGCAGAUCUCUGGGCCGUAACUGACGCUGAGGAGCGAAAGGGUGGGGAGCAAACAGGCUUAGAUACCCUGGUAGUCCACCCCGUAAACGUUGGGAACUAGUUGUGGGG